GUGGGGAAUUUUGGACAAUGGGCGCAAGCCUGAUCCAGCAAUGCCGCGUGCAGGAAGAAGGCCUUCGGGUUGUAAACUGCUUUUGUACGGAACGAAACGGUCCUGGCUAAUAUCCGGGGCUAAUGACGGUACCGUAAGAAUAAGCACCGGCUAACUACGUGCCAGCAGCCGCGGUAAUACGUAGGGUGCGAGCGUUAAUCGGAAUUACUGGGCGUAAAGCGUGGGCAGGCGGUGCUGUAAGACAGGCGUGAAAUCCCCGGGCUCAACCUGGGAAUUGCGAUUGUGACUGCAGUGCUGGAGUGCGGCAGAGGGGGAUGGAAUUCCGCGUGUAGCAGUGAAAUGCGUAGAUAUGCGGAGGAACACCGAUGGCGAAGGCAAUCCCCUGGACCUGCACUGACGCUCAUGCACGAAAGCGUGGGGAGCAAACAGGAUUAGAAACCCUGGUAGUCC
Molecule: ribosomal RNA, 450 nt
Filed under: uncultured bacterium
Lineage: Bacteria
Description: partial 16S ribosomal RNA
Rfam family: Bacterial small subunit ribosomal RNA
Source: RNAcentral